Molecule: long non-coding RNA, 1509 nt
Organism: Cannabis sativa
Lineage: Eukaryota; Viridiplantae; Streptophyta; Magnoliopsida; Rosales; Cannabaceae
Exons: 2
Source: RefSeq, a predicted model, not a curated record
UAUAUAUGGGAAUAUAUCUUUCAAAUAUCUCAUCCUACUCAACUUUUAAAUACCCCAUUCUAUUCCACUAAAGUGGUGUUUAAUAGCAACAUUGGAUUGUUAUAGCAAUAGUAAUGAGAGUGUAAUGUACUAGGAAUGUCAAUCUGGGCUAUUUUCGCGGGCCGGGCCGGGCCCCCGGCCCGACGGGCCGACUGUGGCCCGAAUGAUUCGGGCUAGCAAAGUGGUAUAUAUUAUUUCGGGUCGGGCCCGGCCCGGCCCGGUUUCAAAUAUUAAAAAAAAACUUAAAUCCCUAAAAAAAAAUCUCAAAUUCUAAACCUAAAUCUCACCACUUCUUUCUCAGACUCUGCACUCCGUGGCUCCUUCAUCUCCAGCCCCGCCGCCGACGACUCUGUCUCCCUCACCUCUGCCACCCAAGACCCAAUCUCAAAUAUUAAGUAGUUAUUAUUUAUUAAAAUAAACAAAUAAAUUAGAGAGAGAGAGAGAGAAAGAGAAAGUGGGUGUGACUGAAACUCCAAGGAAACAAAUUCACUUUCCUCAAUUCGAAGAAGAAAGAUAGACGGCUUAGGCAGUCCUCUAAGUCUCACAGUCACAGUACUUAAAAGUAAGCUGUUUACAUAAUUUGACCAACUUGCUCCGAGGCCCCAAAUGUACCCUUCUACUACAUUAAAACUUUAAUAAUUAAGCUUGUUUUUCAUCAGAUUAAAAAAAAAACAAGUGUGUUUUGAAGAAAGAAAAAUAAAAUAUAUUAAAAGGGAAAGAAAGUAGAAUAGAAUGUCAAAAUUUAUUUCUUUCAUAUUUAUAUUGUAAUUUUAUUAUAUUUUCUUAUUAUUUAAUAUAUAUUUUUUUUAUAUAUACUAAUAAUAUUUGGCUCGCCUCACUUAGUGCCGGAUCUAUACCUGGGUGCCACUAAUGGUGACAAUGGAAGGAGAUGACCUACCAUACAUAAAAGUACAUAAUUACUAUUUUUCUAAAAAGGAUCAAAUAAAUAAUCAUGAUAUUUUAUUUGCUAUUGCUAUAGAUGUGUUUUUAUUCAAACUACUACUACUCCUUAAAAUGUCCAAUGAAAAAGAGCCUGAACCGACAUGUCUUUAGAUUUAAAAAAAAAAAAGGAAGAAAAAGAAAAUGGCAAAUGCUGUCUAAAUUAUUAUUACACUUGCAUUGCACUAAAUUAAGUCGGUUGUCAUCAUCAUCAUCAUUUUUAAUCGAAAACUCAACUACUCAUCGCCGCAUUAUCAUAUCAAACAUCCACACAAGGCAAUCCCACUUAAUUGGUGUACUCUCAAAUUCCCAUUAAUAUGUACUUAAUUGGUGUACAUACACACGUAGAGAAAUGUUAAAGGUAUCAAUGGUGCCUAACACCUUCAUAUGUGUUAAUAUCGUUAUUAGUUCAAUUAAGCAUUUCUUUCAAAUAACUAGCAAGAGCAAAAUUGAAGUUUUAGUCUCACUCUUCUCAAGAGCCAGCCCAUUGUUCUUUAGGAUUUCUGCAAUUGUUACGACGGUAGCAAUAGC